Molecule: long non-coding RNA, 5940 nt
Filed under: Nicotiana tabacum (common tobacco)
Lineage: Eukaryota; Viridiplantae; Streptophyta; Magnoliopsida; Solanales; Solanaceae
Description: long non-coding RNA (NTAB_LNC012717)
Source: RNAcentral
ACAAAAGCUGCGCAGCAAAUACAGGACCCCUUCCCCCUUCGGAUCGUCUUCUUCACAUACCCCCCCCCCCCCGCCCCCCUUUGACCUCAUCCUUCAUCAUCAGCCAUCGAUCCCAAAUGACCGAAGACCCUCCAGUCGUCGCCUCCUGCACAAAACCAGCGAGAACGGGCCCUCCAAUCUCUCUCGAUCUCUGAGAACGACGAGCAGUAGCGGACCCCUCCCAUCGCCGAAAAUUCGAAAACAGCCCGACCUUCACCCAACUCCCUCACCUCGUCUCACCUCUCCGCGGUCCAUUCCGCCAGCAACCCCAUAUCCGGCGAGCUUCAUCCUCACACACACAUAUACAGACAGAACAACAGUGUGACCUCCUCGUUCAAUACGUCCUUUGGCUGUUUCACUCUCAGAUCUGUUGAUCUUCCUUGGUUUGGUGUUUUCACCCCCACUGUCAUUACUGCUUCUUCCAUUUGCCAUUAGCUAUGCCAUUUUCGGAUAGGAUUAUGAAACUCUGCUAAAAUGCACACUAAAUGGAAUGAAGCAGAUCCAAAUCGCUAGUCACUGUUGCAAUCCGUUGAUUUUAUUAUUUGGUUUAAUUCGAGUUUUCACGCGAGUUUUGAGUUGUAGUCUGAGGUUUCCAAUGGGGUUUUCCGGCCAAGUUCCGGCUUUAGUUCCUAUUCACACAGUGUUAUUGCAAUCGGAAAGGCCAUCAUUUUAAGUUAAGUAGUGAUUUCCGGCGUGGUUCUCGAUCGAGAAAGUGCACGGUUCUGUCGAGGUUGUACAAGUCAUGACUGGUCGUUGUAUGAAUCCUGCUUGGAGGCCUUAUUCAAUGAGAAAUCCUUGCUUCAGUUGAGGUUCAUUCUCAAUUUUUUUCCACUAUUGAUUUGUUGAAUGAUAUGUUUGUUUGAUUUUGAUACAUCAUUUGAUUAUUUUAUUUUAGUUGAAAUAUCUUGAACGAGUAUUGAGUGCUUGGUUGAAUUGUUGGAUCUUGAAAACAAAAGAAAAUUUUAACUACAUGAAGCCAUGAAAUAUGAUACUCUCACUUGUGUUAGUUGGACCAUUAAUUGUUACCUUACUGGAUUUAGGUUCAGAAUAAAUUGGGAACGAUUUGGUUGCCUCAGUUGAAAUUAGGCCUUUAACACCUUCACUUGAGCAAUUAAAUAAAUUUAUAUGAGUGGAUGAAAAUUAUCACCAAGCCCAACUAAUUUGUCAAAUGAAUUCCAAACCUCUAAACAAGCUUGAGUGCUUUUGUAAUUUUUUUUAAAAUUCAUGAACACUUUGUCCAACAAAUGAAUAUCUAUAGUUUCGGACUUUCAAUAAUUCCAAAUUGAAUAUAGGCAACUUAUAAAUGCGUAGUUGCUUUAAGCGCGUUGUUUUAAUAAUAUUACUUUCCUAAACUCGGGUGUGCAUUUCAUGUGACCCAAAUUCAAAUCUUAACAACGUUAAAUAAAAUGUGUCUCGGAAUGCGGGUGCAUUUCAUGUGGCGUGAUCCAAAGACAUGUUUUAGAUGACGUUGAAAUCUUCCUUAAAAUAAUUAAAAGCGGUUUAAGGUUAAAAUGCGCAUAGGUUCAAAAUUGUUUAAAAUUAGAUAAUUAAGCCGAAUAUAACAGUUGAGCGACCGUUCUAGAACCACGGAACUCGGGAAUGCCUAACACCUUCUCUCGGGUUAACAGAAUUCCUUACUCGGAUUUCUAGUUCGCGGACUGUUAAACAAAGUCAAGCUUUUCCUCGAUUCGGGAUUCAACCGGUGACUUGGGAUACCAUAAAUUAUCCCAAGUGGCGGCUCUGAAUCUUUUACUAAUAAAUCCCGUUUCAAUUGUUACUUUAAGUUGGAAAAAACUCCCUUAUAUACUCCCUUCUGGGUAUAUAGUGAAAAAGAAGGUGUGACCCCGGCCUCUGACGGCUACAGUAGGGGGAACGGGUGCCUAAUCAUCUAGGGUAGUACGUGUCCUCACCAUCUAUGAGAGAAUAAAAGAAAGAAGUUUAUAGUUGUGACAUCAAAAUCUCGCAUGUCAAGGAAAUCAAAUGAAGUGGAAUCUUCCUAAAAGUUGCAUAGCCUCUCGCAGAUAAGUACAGACGUCUUCGUACCGAUCCCCGAAACUCUAAUAAACCAGCUUGUGAUUUAUUACUCCUAUGAACCUAGAGCUCUGAUACCAACUUGUCGCGACCCCAGUUCACCCUCCGUGAACUAUCAUGACGGAACCUAGUCUCUACGACAAGGUAAGCCUAACAAAUGCGGAAAAGAAAUAAUUUGCGGAAAGAAAAUAAUAUAAAACUGAAAUAACAACAUGAAAUAGUGUUUAAGAUGCCGCCUAGCACCAAACAGUACAAGAAUCUCAACCUAACACUUCCUAGAAUCCGGAUCCCUAUGAAUCACAAGCUAAGAGAUACAUAAGAAACUCUAACUCCAGAAAUGUCUAACAAAAGAAAAAUACAAAAGGGCUAUACUAUUAUAGAAAGAUAGAAAGAGACUCCUUGGUAUGCGGACGUGGCAGAUAUAGCUCGAAGUCUCUGCAGAAGUGCCCUCGCCUCAAGGAUGAUAAGACUGAGUGGAAGUACCUGGAUCUGCACAUGAAAAACAUGCACAUAAAGGGCAUGAGUACACUAUAGUGGUACUCAGUAAGUGCCAAGCCUAACCUCGGUCGGGUAGUGACGAGGAAAGUCAGGGCCCUACUGAGGUUAAACAAAAUACAAGGUGUAACAGUGUAAAUAUAAGAUAGUAUAAUAAGUGCAACAGUAAGGAGUAACACAGAAUAGAAAGAACAGCAACAACUACUACAGAGGCAAAGUAAACACAGAGAGAAAUACAGCUCAACACAAAAAUAACAACUGGGGAUCUUCCAGGAUACCGUCCUGUAGUCCCAAAUAGAAAUAUCUAGUGGAUCUCCCAGAAUACCGUCCCGUAGUCCAUCUCAUAAUGUGAAGGGAUCUCCCGAAAUACCGAUCCGUAGACACAAAUAUAAAUACUCAAUACAUGAGGAAUCUACCGGGUGCAUUCUCGUAGUUCCAAUGUAAAUGUGCAGGGGGAUCUCCCGGAAUACCAUUCCAUAGUCCCAAAAUAAACACUCAGCAACAACAAGAAGAAUACACAGUUCAAUUCAAAUUCCAUACUAAGGUAAAACAGGUAUUUCUAGCCUAGCAUGCUGUACGUAAUCCAAAUAAGGCAGUUUGAGCAAGUAAAGCAAUUAAGUCAAUUAGACAUGCUUCCCUAAACUAACAACAAGCUUAAAUUUAAAGUAGUAUAAACAUGAAAAAGAAACAUAGUUAAAAUUACUUAAAGAAAAAUUGAAUUUUUCAACAAUUAGCACAAGCACGCACUCGCCACCUCACGUACAAGGCAUUUCAAGUAUCAAUAAUAUUAAAUCCUAAGGGGAGUUUCCCCACACAAGGUUAGGCAAGCCAUUUACCUCAAACCGGCUCAAAAUCAACCCGAAACCACGUUCUUGCCAUGAGUACUCGACUCCAAAUGGCCCAAAUAUAUUCAAUUCAAUUGCAUAAUGUAAAUAACACUUCAAGCAAUUGAUUCCACAAAUAAAUUCUAAGCUAAUACGCGAAAUUAAGUAAAAUGACCAAAAUGCCCUCUGGGUCCACAUUUCAGAAUUGGGUAAAAUUUACAUUUUCAGAAUUCUCAUACUCUCACGAGUCUAACCAUACCAAAAUUAUCCAAAUCCAUUUUCAAAUCCCCAAUCAAAACUCAAAAUUUUGGUCUAAGAACUUUCCCCCAAUUUUCAUACAAAUUCCGAAAUUAAAUGAUGAAUUCAUGUUUAGAUUAAUGAGUUACAAGCAAAAAGGAGUUAAGAAUCGUUACCCAGUCGAUAUCUCUGAAAAUCCCUCAAAACCUCGCUCAAAAUCUGAGCUCCCAAGCUCUAGUUUUCACAAAAAUGGCUAAACCCUCGAUUUUGAACUUAAACAUUCUGCCCAGGUAUUUCCUUCUUCGCAAAUGCGGAAGGACCCUCGCGUUCAUGAAGCACAACUCCACUUGGGUCCAGCUUUCCUUCAUCGCGAACGCGAUGCCCUGGUCGCAAACGCAGUGCACAAUCUCUUCCUCCUACGUGAACGCGGGAACACCAUCGCGAACGCGUAGGUAUAAGACCUCCCAGCUUCGAGAACGCGGGAGACACUUCGAGAACGCGAAGCAUUAAAUCCUCACCAACCCCAGCUCCUCUUCGUGAAUGCGAGACCCCACUCGCGAACGCGAAGAAGGAAACUAGAACUGACUACUGCAACAUUUUUCUGCAAUUUCUAAGUUCCAAAAUGACCCGUUGAGCAUCCGAAACACACCCGAGGCCCCGAGACCUUAACCAAACAUGCCAACCAAUCCUAAAAUAUCAUUCAAACUAGUUCCAAUCUUCGGAACGCUCAAAACAAUAUCAAAACACCAAUUAAACAACAGAUUCAAGCCUAAGAACUCCAAAAACUCUCAAAUUAUGCUUUCGAUCAAAAGGUCUAUCAAACCUCGCCCGAAUGACCUGAAAUUUUGCAAGCACGUCAGAUUCAAUACUACAGAGCUAUUCCAACUUCCGGAAUCCCAUUAUGACUCCGAUAUCAAAAUCUCACUAUCGAAUCGGAAACUUCAAAAAUUUGACUUUCGAUAUUUCAAGCCUAAAUAAACUACGGACCUCCAAAACAUAAUCCGAACACGUCCCUAAGCCCAAAAUCACCCAAUGGAGCUAACAGAACCGACAAAAUUCCAUUCUGAGGCCGUCUUCAUACUGCUCCGACUACGAUCCAAAUUCUAAAGUUUAAGCUCUCAUUUAGGGACUAAGUGUCCCAACACACUCCGAAACUCAAAACCAAAUAUCCCGGGGAAUAAAAAUAGCAGAAACAAAUACGAAAAAACAGUUAAUAGAAGAUUGGGGCGUUAAUUAUUAAAACGACCAGCCGGGUCGUUACACUUGAUUAAUGGAUAGUACUCAUUGUAUCUUUGAAUUAUAGAUGUUAAAUUGCAAAAGGCUUUAACAUGAAAAUCAUAUGUUUGAUUGUAUUUAUUCAAAAUGGUUUAGUUUUAUCAUGAACAAUGAUUUGAUGAAAAUAGAUCCAUUGAGGCUAACAUGCUAUGAAUCUAUUUUUGAACUAUCAAAUAUUUUGGGAGUUACUAGUGGAGACCGCCGAGAUUGGUUCGAAUGUUGAGUUCGUUACCAUGAAACUACACGUGCUGGUGUAGGGACACAUUCCAAGGUUAUCCAAGGUUUGUAGAAUAAAAUCCCCCAUUGUGAGGAAAAAUGAUCAUUACUUAAAGUAAUGAGGUUAAGUCGACUCGUACGACACUAAGGAAAACCGCCCAGAUAAGUAGGGCCAAAUACUAUCUAGGUCGAUCACCUAGUAGUUGUUUAUUUUGUCAAUGUCAGUGUAGUACUUCCGGUAAAAAGGUAUAGGAUAAAUUUGUUAUGUUUAGGGCUAAGGAGCAGAAAGUGAUUUCAAUGACUUAAUAAAGUUGAAAUAAUUUUGAAUGAUUUUGUUAGGAUCACGGGUUGACAUAACAAUUUUAAAAGUUUGUAUCAUGGUUUACAUUUUUCCAGUCAUUUCAUUUAAAAUGAUAAAGAGCAUGAAUUGAUAUAAUUGUUAUCAUUCUAUAUCAAAUAUUAAUUGCAUUAUUUUUGUAAAGUCUUGUCUCAGGAACUUGAGUUAGAGAGAGUCUAUAAUACUUAUUAGUACCGUCGUGGUGUACUCAGCCCCUAUGGGACCCUCUCUAGGGUCACACUUAUUUUACGUGUUUUCAAAAUAAGAUGUGGUAUGUGGUGAGUGGAUGAGUCUAGGAUGACUCUCUUUCCGAGGCGUAUAGCAAGACGCCGCUUCUAUUCCGUGGUAGCAUUCAUUUUGAUCUUACUUACUUCUGGUUGGGAUUUGUCCCAAGUAUUUAUUUCAUCCUUGUAUCUUAGAUAUUCCACAGAUAGAUGUUAUUCUUUUAGAGUUGUAAUCGAGACUUAUUCAUAUAGCAUGCAUCAA